Long non-coding RNA from Bombina bombina (fire-bellied toad), 369 nucleotides. RefSeq lists it as uncharacterized. Lineage: Eukaryota; Metazoa; Chordata; Amphibia; Anura; Bombinatoridae. The transcript has 2 exons. The record is from RefSeq and is a predicted model, not a curated record.
UUAGACAGACGUUUGAGAGAAAGACGCUCUGAAAAACAACACUCAGACACCCUCAUGAAAGCCUCUCAUCUUAGUACAUUACCCACUCAAAACAAAGCACUGACUAAGACCACUACUACCCCCAUGGAGCUCGGAUUUAUCAGAGGUCCAUUAACCCCUCAAGAAAAAUUGAGACGUAGAGCUAACGAUCUCUGCAUGUACUGCGGGGGGUUGGACCACUCCGUCAGAGAUUGUAACCAACUUCUGCGCAGGAAUGUGGGAACACCACCGAAUAGAAUCGCAAGCAAUCCUUGACUCUGGGGCUACUCACAAUUACAUUGACCAACACUUUGUGCUAACAAAUAAAAUACCACUUGUUAAAAAGUUAAA